This 741-nucleotide long non-coding RNA is filed under the name Rattus norvegicus (Norway rat). RNAcentral describes it as "long non-coding RNA NONRATT025822". The record is from RNAcentral. Lineage: Eukaryota; Metazoa; Chordata; Mammalia; Rodentia; Muridae.
AUGUGCAUGCCUGUGAAUGUAAGGUCAGAAAUUGACAUUGGGUGUCCUCCCCGAUUGCUUUUUGCCUCAUUUUUUGAGACAGGGUCUCCCACUCAUGUGGAACUCACUGUAUUGGAGCCUUGGGGGGGGCCAACAAGCCCCUAAGAUUCUCCUGUCUCCAUCCCUGUGUCACAGGGUUACCGAGGCAGAUGUGUGCCGCCAUGUUUGUUUUUUCACAGGAGUAAGAGAGUUUCAAACUUAGGCCCUUACGCCCACACGGCAAGCACUUUACUAACUGACCACCGACCUGGCUUCUAACAGGUGAAAUCUCAGGUCCAGUCAGGUUAAAAACCAAGAGCGAAUAAAAGAUCAUCGAGGCGGGUCUUAAAAGUUAGUUUGGCACAAGAACUAAGUUGAGGAAAUAAACUUUCUAUAAUUUCCUUUUAAUCAUGACUUACUCAAGAAACACGUUUUGUGGUGUGUCGAAUGUGUCAUUUGACACAUUUCAAAAUGUGUCAGAAGGAGUAAGCCAAAUCAUGACAAUGGAAGUUUACCUGGAAGAAAUGAAACCGAAAGCGCUCCUCACGUACCAAAUUCAGUGCAGGAGGAAGGAGGUGCUGAGCCUCUAAGUACUGCACAGCUUUAAAAUUACUCAAAUCACAUUCAUUUUGCCUCACAUUUUGCAUUAAAAAAUUGAAAAUGCAGAAACCAUCAGUCGGUGCAUUUCUGCAAACAGUGCCCUGCAGUUAAAUGGAAUCGCAC